This 1870-nucleotide long non-coding RNA is filed under the name Cinara cedri. The record is from RNAcentral. Lineage: Eukaryota; Metazoa; Arthropoda; Insecta; Hemiptera; Aphididae.
ACAAUACUUGUCUGUCAUCGUGAAUCGCCAUUUUGUCAUCUGCAUUUUUUGUACCUCAUACUUAUUAACAUCAACGUUGCAACUUAUUGAGUAGAAUGACAUGACGGUGUUUCGGUUUAAUUAAACCACGAAAGGAUUUCAAGGUUUAAUUAAACUGAAACACUGUCAAGUCAUUCUACUCAAUUUAAGGUUUGUUGAUGUUAAUACGAAUUCAUCAAAUAGACGCCAUGAGGUUAGUAUAUUAGACUCAUAAUAAUUAAUAAUUUUAAAUGGUAGAAUAAUAUUUGUGUAAUCAUUUAUCUGGAAUAAUGUUUGAAUAUUAUUUAUUUAACAGUCAAUUAAAAUCAAUCACUGUCGUGUCAUUUCUACUCAAUUAAAAUUUUGUUCAAGUCUUUACGAAUUCAUCGCCAUUUGUCAUCUGGACUUUUUCUACUUCAACGGUUAAAUUGCAAAUUUUGUAUUGAGUAAAAAGUUUAAUUAAACCACGAAAGGAUUUCAAUGUUUAAUUAAACUGAAACACUGUCAAGUCAUUCUACUCAAUUUAAGGUUUGUUGAUGUUAAUACGAAUUCAUCAAAUAGACGCCAUGAGGUUAGUAUAUUAGACUCAUAAUAAUUAAUAAUUUUAAAUGGUAGAAUAAUAUUUGUGUAAUCAUAUAUCUUGAAUAAUGUUUGAAUAUUAUUUAUUUAACAGUCAAUUAAAAUCAAUCACUGUCGUGUCAUUUCUACUCAAUUAAAAUUUUGUUCAAGUCUUUACGAAUUCAUCGCCAUUUGUCAUCUGGACUUUUUCUACUUCAACAUUUAAAUUGCAAAUUUUGUAUUGAGUAAAAUGCCAUGACAGGGAUUCGGUUUAAAGAAACCUAAAUAAGUUUUCUCGGUAACUUUAAACCGAACCACUGUCAAGACCUUUUCUAUUCAAUUUGAAGUUUGUUGAAGUAGAUAGGAAUUCAUCAAAUAGACGCCAUUUCGUAAGUAUAUUAGACUCAUAAUUAAUCAUUUUCAAUGGAAGAGUAAUAUUAUUUAUUCAACAGUCAAUAAAACUCAAUCACUGUCAAGUCUUCUCUACUCAAUUUAAAUUUUGUUGAAGUCAAUACAAAUUCAUUGUCAUUUGUCAUCUGGACUUUUUCUACUUCAACGGUUAAAUUGCAAAUUUUGUAUUGAGUAAAAAGUUUAAUUAAACCACGAAAGGAUUUCAAUGUUUAAUUAAACUGAAACACUGUCAAGUCAUUUCUACUCAAUUUAAGGUUUGUUGAUGUUAAUACGAAUUCAUCAAAUAGACGCCAUGAGGUUAGUAUAUUAGACUCAUAAUAAUUAAUAAUUUUAAAUGGUAGAAUAAUAUUUGUGUAAUCAUUUAUCUGGAAUAAUGUUUGAAUAUUAUUUAUUUAACAGUCAAUUAAAAUCAAUCACUGUCGUGUCAUUUCUACUCAAUUAAAAUUUUGUUCAAGUCUUUACGAAUUCAUCGCCAUUUGUCAUCUGGACUUUUUCUACUUCAACAUUUAAAUUGCAAAUUUUGUAUUGAGUAAAAUGCCAUGACAGGGAUUCGGUUUAAAGAAACCUAAAUAAGUUUUCUCGGUAACUUUAAACCGAACCACUGUCAAGACCUUUUCUAUUCAAUUUGAAGUUUGUUGAAGUAGAUAGGAAUUCAUCAAAUAGACGCCAUUUCGUAAGUAUAUUAGACUCAUAAUUAAUCAUUUUCAAUGGAAGAGUAAUAUUAUUUUUUUUAUAAUCAUUUAUCUUGAAUAAUGUUUUAAUAUUAUUUAUUCAACAGUCAAUAAAACUCAAUCACUGUCAAGUCUUCUCUACUCAAUUUAAAUUUUGUUGAAGUCAAUACGAAUUCAUUGCCAUUUGUCAUCUGGACUUUUUCUACUUCAAU